UCAAACUGCCGUUUUUCCCUUUCACUUACCAGCCUUUUUUCCUUUUUCCUGCAAUCCAAACAAGAAAUCAGCCAAAAUUUAUGUAAAACGAAACCCAGUUUUUAAUAUUUAUUUUAUAUAAUAACUUAAAAUGUGAGCAGUUUUGGCCGUUUAAAGAGUAAAAAGGCAACAAAAGCAAACAUCUCUCGUCCUUUCCUUUUCUUUGAGAUUCCCUGCAUUUUUUUUUCUCUUUCGUUUUCCCUCGUGUCGUCCAAACACUGUCUGGAAUAAGGCGCAGUUUAGUUAAAUCCAUUGACACGUCAGAUGAAAGACGGUGUAGGUUAGUGCACCCGACGUAUUUUUAUUAACUUUUGCAUUUAAAAAAAAAAAAGAUUAAUCGGAAAGUUUGCCGGGAAAACGACUUUAUGUGACUUCGUCGGAAGUGGUUCCCCAC
This 433-nucleotide long non-coding RNA is filed under the name Gossypium raimondii (Peruvian cotton). Its description in RNAcentral is "long non-coding RNA (GRAI_LNC006858)". The record is from RNAcentral. Lineage: Eukaryota; Viridiplantae; Streptophyta; Magnoliopsida; Malvales; Malvaceae.